Long non-coding RNA from Amblyraja radiata (thorny skate), 92 nucleotides. RefSeq lists it as uncharacterized. The transcript is spliced from 4 exons. Lineage: Eukaryota; Metazoa; Chordata; Chondrichthyes; Rajiformes; Rajidae. The record is from RefSeq and is a predicted model, not a curated record.
GUUAUAAGUUAUUGUGUGGCGUCAGCCUACACACAGGCCACUUGUGCUCGAACGCUCGUCAGGAUGUACGAGGGCGGGCACGUGAGUCAUGG